RNAcentral lists this non-coding RNA (27 nucleotides) under Mus musculus (house mouse). Lineage: Eukaryota; Metazoa; Chordata; Mammalia; Rodentia; Muridae. The record is from RNAcentral.
UAGUAGUAGCAGAGCCAUUUGUAAGCU